UUUUGUAUGAGACGCAUUCCG
This 21-nucleotide microRNA is filed under the name Caenorhabditis briggsae. RNAcentral's name for it is "cbr-lsy-6". Its record names the gene cbr-lsy-6. The record is from miRBase by way of RNAcentral. Lineage: Eukaryota; Metazoa; Nematoda; Chromadorea; Rhabditida; Rhabditidae.